GGGGCGUAGCAAUACGCUCGCUGGCGACCGGCAAACGGGUGCGGAACACGUACACAACCUUCCUUAAAGUGGGGGAUAGCCCGGGGAAACCCGGAUUAAUACCCCGUAACAUAAUGAAGUGGCAUCGCUUUAUUAUUAUAGCAGCAAUGCGCUUAAAGAUGGGUGUGCGACUGAUUAGGCAGUUGGCGGGGUAACGGCCCACCAAACCUACGAUCAGUAACUGGUGUGAGAGCACGACCAGUCACACGGGCACUGAGACACGGGCCCGACUCCUACGGGAGGCAGCAGUAAGGAAUAUUGGUCAAUGGACGCAAGUCUGAACCAGCCAUGCCGCGUGGAGGAUGAAGGUCCUCUGGAUUGUAAACUUCUUUUACCUGGGAAGAAAUCCACAAAUUCUUUUGUGGUUGACGGUACCAGGUGAAUAAGCACCGGCUAACUCCGUGCCAGCAGCCGCGGUAAUACGGAGGGUGCAAGCGUUAUCCGGAUUCACUGGGUUUAAAGGGUGCGUAGGUGGGUUGGUAAGUCAGUGGUGAAAUCUCCAGGCUUAACUUGGAAACUGCCAUUGAUACUAUCAAUCUUGAAUACCGUGGAGGUCAGCGGAAUAUGUCAUGUAGCGGUGAAAUGCUUAGAGAUGACAUAGAACACCAAUUGCGAAGGCAGCUGGCUACGCGGAUAUUGACACUGAUGCACGAAAGCGUGGGGAUCAAACAGGAUUAGAUACCCUGGUAGUCCACGCCCUAAACGAUGGAUACUCGACAUACGCGAUAUACUGUGUGUGUCUGAGCGAAAGCAUUAAGUAU
This 800-nucleotide ribosomal RNA is filed under the name uncultured Sphingobacteriales bacterium. Its description in RNAcentral is "bacterial SSU rRNA". It matches the Rfam family "Bacterial small subunit ribosomal RNA", at positions 71 to 867 of the family's 1533-position model. Lineage: Bacteria; Pseudomonadati; Bacteroidota; Sphingobacteriia; Sphingobacteriales. The record is from RNAcentral.